GAACUAGCUUGCUAGUUGCUGACGAGUGGCGGACGGGUGAGUAAUGCUUGGGAAUUUGCCUUUAGGUGGGGGACAACAGUUGGAAACGACUGCUAAUACCGCAUGAUAGCUACGGCUCAAAGGGGGCUUCGGCUCCCGCCUUUAGAGAAGCCCAAGUGGGAUUAGGUAGUUGGUGAGGUAAAGGCUCACCAAGCCGACGAUCCCUAGCUGGUCUGAGAGGAUGAUCAGCCACACUGGAACUGAGACACGGUCCAGACUCCUACGGGAGGCAGCAGUGGGGAAUAUUGCACAAUGGGCGAAAGCCUGAUGCAGCCAUGCCGCGUGUGUGAAGAAGGCCUUCGGGUUGUAAAGCACUUUCAGCGAGGAGGAAAGGUUAGUUGUUAAUACCAGCUAGCUGUGACGUUACUCGCAGAAGAAGCACCGGCUAACUCCGUGCCAGCAGCCGCGGUAAUACGGAGGGUGCGAGCGUUAAUCGGAAUUACUGGGCGUAAAGCGUACGCAGGCGGCCAUUUAAGUCAGAUGUGAAAGCCCCGGGCUCAACCUGGGAACUGCAUUUGAAACUGGAUGGCUAGAGUGCGACAGAGGGUGGUAGAAUUUCAGGUGUAGCGGUGAAAUGCGUAGAGAUCUGAAGGAAUACCAAUGGCGAAGGCAGCCACCUGGGUCGACACUGACGCUCAUGUACGAAAGCGUGGGUAGCAAACAGGAUUAGAUACCCUGGUAGUCCACGCCGUAAACGAUGUCUACUAGCAGUUUGGAGCUUAAGCUCUGUCUUGCGCAGCUAACGCAUUAAGUAGACCGCCUGGGGAGUACGGCCGCAAGGUUAAAACUCAAAUGAAUUGACGGGGG
This 846-nucleotide ribosomal RNA is filed under the name Psychrosphaera haliotis. RNAcentral describes it as "bacterial SSU rRNA". It matches the Rfam family "Bacterial small subunit ribosomal RNA", at positions 72 to 919 of the family's 1533-position model. The record is from RNAcentral. Lineage: Bacteria; Pseudomonadati; Pseudomonadota; Gammaproteobacteria; Alteromonadales; Pseudoalteromonadaceae.